Long non-coding RNA from Ictalurus punctatus (channel catfish), 1870 nucleotides. The record is from Ensembl. Lineage: Eukaryota; Metazoa; Chordata; Actinopteri; Siluriformes; Ictaluridae.
CCAAAAAGAUAAAUGAUCUCAGGGUUGGUUUCAUCACGGCAAAGGCCAACGCUCCCUUCUACCACCAUUUGUGCUUCUAGUAGUAUUAAAGUUUAAAAGUAAGUUGUACAAAUGACCUGCUGGAGCUUCUAUCUCCCAAAUGGCAAGUCGAAAAGGAACAACUCUGAUAUAUCACAGCUUGGAGUUAGAGAGAAACUUGAUUCGCCAGGCUGUUACACUAGAUUUAUUAGUUGCUGUAUUUCUCUAGCGUCAACUGAUGUUCCAUAAGCCUGAGCCUCCGGGGUUUCGGGUGGCCUCUCCCCCCCCCGGCAGCUGAUGGAAAAGUGUUUGGAUGCCGGUCUAUUCAUGUGAGGGUGUUAAACACAACAGAUUAAGACGCUCUGCAAACCUCCAAAGCUAGCAUUAGGCCACUUAUCAUAUUAGUUUGGCUAUACUAAUCCAUCUGAUAUGGUGUGUCUGCUUCCACUCCCAUGCUCCACCUUCGACAUGGUAACAACUCUGUAACACGAGCGGCAUCAAAGCACGUAAACGUGGAGAACUUCAGCAUCCUGGAUUCCUGCGCUAAACCCGGUUUUGGCUUCCACUUUGUGCUGGGACGGGGGAACCUAAAUCUGCACAUGCCUUGGCAUUUCACACAGCAGCAAGCUUAAACACUUGUUCAGCACUGCUUGUUGUAGUGUGUGUGAGGUAAACAGGUGUAAGUCUGAAGGAGUUUCGAGUCAGUUCAUGUAGUGAAAGGUCAAAUGACUGAUUUCUGUUAAAGGUGCCUGGUCUUAAGCUUCAUGAUGCCAUGUGGAAGUGAAAUAUGACUGAGGAUGGCUUAAUGAUUGGUUAACAGUGAUAUGAAUACACUUUGGGAUGUUACUAAAGAUACUGAAGUAUCAAUAUCCACAUAUGUUUAGUCAGAUAUUCUGUAUCGGCAUAGUGGUCAUAGUUGGAGGAUGACACUGCUCACUGAGCUUUGCCUACUAUAUCACAUUGCAAACAACGUGUCACACUUAACCUUUAUUGAUUUAUAUCAGUAAAUGUUGCUUAAACUACCAUCAAAUCCUUGCAAAGCACUUCCAUAUAAAACCUCUAACCUACUCUCCUGUUAAACAGCGCAAGGCUGAUUACACCUUUACACCUUACUUAACCUAAGUUGUUUUUUUUUAACUACCUUUUAUAUUGCAGCCACCAUCUAGAUCAUUUACUUCAUUUUCAUAGCAGCGGUACAAAUAAUUACAGGCACCUAGAAUCAGCUGAAUGUCAUACCUGAAGCAAGCACAUGCUUCCUGAUAUUACGAGUGGAAGAAAAAAGAUGAGCGUCAGGUGGAGAGAAUCGUCAAUGUGCUCCUCAGCACCUUGUGUUUCUCUACAUCUGCAGUCCCUGAUAAAACUCACAACAUCCUCCUUAAUGCCCUCCACCACCUAUUCGUCAUGGCCUCACGCCCUGCCAUUCAGAGUACACCUUGAGACAGACCAUCAGUCCCGAUGAUGAAGAAUGUCACAUCCAGAUGACCCACUCUUCAGCCCUGAGCCUUGGCUGAGUUGCUGCUCCUCCUCCUUAACCCUGUACCUAAGCUGGCCACAGAAAAGAACAGUUGGGACAAACGUGUCUUCAAUGGACCAACACCACGGGGACAUCAUUCUGCAGAGCAAGCCAGCCGGCCCGCUGGGGAUUCACUAAUGUGUGUGCCAUUGUUUCUCUGAGUAUGAUGGUGCUGCAUGUUGUUUUAACGGCUUAAACCUUCCCAAUGAGCCCUUUGUGUGAGGAUCUUACCCUUAGCUGGCUCUUGCCCUCGGGUGAUGUUGGACAAGAUGGAGUGCUUUAAAGCCCUGGGCUCUGUGGCAAUUAUGGACCCUUGAGUCUAUUAUCCUCUGAUCGAGA